Molecule: ribosomal RNA, 253 nt
Filed under: uncultured bacterium
Lineage: Bacteria
Description: partial 16S ribosomal RNA
Rfam family: Bacterial small subunit ribosomal RNA
Source: RNAcentral
UACGGAGGGUGCAAACGUUGCUCGGAAUCACUGGGCGUAAAGGGUGCGUAGGCGGGUCUUUAAGUCAGGGGUGAAAUCCUGGAGCUCAACUCCAGAACUGCCUUUGAUACUGAAGAUCUUGAGUCCGGGAGAGGUGAGUGGAACUGCGAGUGUAGAGGUGAAAUUCGUAGAUAUUCGCAAGAACACCAGUGGCGAAGGCGGCUCACUGGCCCGGUACUGACGCUGAGGCACGAAAGCGUGGGGAGCAAACAGG